AAUAAUAAUAAUAAUCUAGAAACUCAUUUUGAAAGAAAGAAAAAGAAAGACAAGAAAAUUAAGAAGAUCCACCUAAGAACAUAAGAAUGGAAUUUACUCGUGUUCGGUGUUGGUGAAGUCGUUUCCUAAUUAAGUUUAAACAGGUAAGUUUUAAAUACAUUUACCUUUCACAUUUUAUGUUUUUUUUUCUUUACUUGUUUCAGUCAUUGGACUGUGGCCAUGCUGGAGGCAUCGUCUCCAAGGAUUUUACUCGAACAAAUUGACCCUUGGGCUUGUUUUUCAGUUUGGUGCUUUUUAGACCGGUUUAUUUUGCUGAACUACUUUGUUACGGGGAAGUAAACAACCCAAAAAGCGCUUGAAGGGUGGGAGGGGGAUAAACACACGCGCAGGCACACACGCACGCACGCACGUAUCUUUGUUUCAUACAUAAUGUCUACACGUUAAUUAUGGUACAUUGAAGACAAAUUUUAAUUAAAUACUGCCUCAGUUGCGUAUGGCUGUGUGGUAAGAAGCUUGCUUCCCAACCACAUGGCUCCGGUUCAAUCCCACCGCGUGGCAUCGUGGGCAAGCGUCUUCUAACAUAGCCUCGGCCCGACCAAAGCCUUGUGAGAGGAUCUGAUAGACGGAAACUGAAACAAGCCCGUCGUAUAUAUAUAUAUAUAUAUAUAUAUAUAUAUAUAUAUAUAUAUAUAUAUAUAUGUGUGUGUGUGUGUGUGUGUGUGUGUGUGUGUGUGUGUGUGUGUGUGUUUGUGUGUGUGUGUACUUGUGUGCAUGGGUUUAUCCCGCCGCCCAACGCGUGACAACCAAUGUUGGUGUGUUUACGUCCCAUUAACUUAACUGUUCGGCAAAUACACCGAUAGAAUAAGUACUAGGCUUGCAAAAAAAUAAGUUCUGGGAUCGAUUUGUUUGACUAAAGGCGGUACUCCAGCAUGACCACAGUCAAAAUGACUGAAGAAGUAAAAGAAUAUAUAUAUACACGACAGGGUUCCACACAGUUUCCGUCUACCAAAUUCACUCACAACGCAUUAGUUCGCCUGUGACUACAGUAGAAGUCACCCAAGAUGCCACGCAGUGAGAUUGAACCCGAAACCACGCAGCUGCCAAGCGUCUUAAACCACUUUGCAUGUUUGAUAAUUGUUGUCAAUGUUUGCUAUACGUUUGUUUUAGAGUUAACAUUGAUGGAGUCACGGUAGGCGGCGAGAUGGCCGAGUGAUUAGCAAACUGCUUAGGGGCAUUUCGUCCAUCUUCACGUUCUGAGUUCAAACUCCGCUGGAGUCGAUUUGCCUUUCGGGGUCAAUAAAAUAUGUACCAGUCGAGUUCUGGGGUCGAUAUAAUCGACUUGUCCCUUCCCUUGAAGUUUCGGGCCUUGUGCUCAUAGUAGAAAGGAUAGAUUGAGUUAUCGACUAAAGAUCAAUGACAAUCCGAUCGUGAUCAUCCUGCCUUUAUCAAGAUAUUUAGAGCUACACGAGCGUUCUUUUAUCUUUUACUUGUUUCAGUCAUUGGGCUGCGGCCAUGCUGGGGUACCGUCACUUCUUUGAAAGGCACGAGCUGGCAGAAUCUUCUGCGGAUCAGAAGAACUGCUAUUCGGUAUCCUUUUGGUUCUCUGCGUUCGAGUUUCAAAUCCUGCCUAGGUCAGCUUUACCCUUUAUCCCUCCGGCGUCGGUCGAGUAAAGUACCAAUCUAAUGCUGAAGAGGACUUUUUUUGGGUUUUUUUGUAGUGUCUUUUAUCUUUUAUUUUUGACUUGUUUCAGUUAUUGGACUGCGGCCAUGCUGGGGCACCGCCUUGAAGGGUUUUUUUUUUCUUUAAAGCCUGGUACUUAUUCUAUCGGACUUUUCUUCCGAAUCGCUAAGUUACGGAGACGUAAACACACUAACGCCGGUUGUCAAGCGGUGAAGGGGGACAAACACAGACACACUCACAGAUAUAUAUAUAUAUAUAUGAUGGGGUUCUUUCAGCUUCCGUCUGCCAAAUCCACUCACAAGGCUUUGGUCGGCCCGAGGCUAUAGUAGAAGACACUUGCCCAAGGUGCUACGCGGUGGGACUGAACCCGGAACCAUGUUGUUGAGAAGCAAACUUCUUACUACACAAUCACACACAUACAUACAGACACAUGUCGAGCGAUGGUGGGGGGAGGGGGCAAACACACACACACACACACACACGCACACACACAUCGGUUGUCAAGCGAUGAUAGGGGAAAAACACAGAUACACAAACACACACACAUAUAUACGACGGUCUUUCAGUUUCCGUCCACCAAAUCCACUCAAGGCUUUGGUCGGUCCGAGGCUACAGUAGAAGACACGUGCCCAAGGUGCCACGCUGUGGUACUGAACCCAGAACCAUGUGUUUGGUAACCACACAGCCACUCCUGCGCCUAUACAUUUUUCAAAAAUAAACACUAAAAAUAUUUUAGGAAGAAAACCAUAUUUCUAGUCUAUCAGGUCAUCCCAUAAGUUCUGUCCAAUUUUACAUUUUUUAAAAUUUAAUGAAAUUUAAUAGUAUUUUAGAAUGUCUAUUGGAAUUAAAAAUUAUUUUUAUGCAUUUGUGUACAUUUCAACUAAUUAAAUAUUAUUUUACUGAAUAAUAGAAUUAAAAUUUCUUUGGUUAAAACCCUUACUAACAUGGAAGUAUCCAAAGCGCAUACAAAAAAUGAAAUUCUGCAACUGAAGCGACUCGAAACAUACACUCAGUUUAUAGGACAGAAUACUUGAAUGAAAUAACUUGCAGAAGAUGGCUUUCAAAAUUCAGAAGUGGAGAUUUCAGACUUGAAGAUGAAGAUCGAACAGGACGUCCAGUUGAAUUUGAUGAUAAGCUCCUCGAGGUAUUACUUGAAGAAAAUCCUGCGUUAUCAGUUGAUGAAUUGACAAUAAAACUUAGUUCAUACCAUCGUCAUCUUCAACAACUUGGAAAGGUUCCUAAGCUUGGAAAAUGGGUACCUCAUGAAUUGUCCGAAAGCAACCGCAAAUCCUGAGUUGACAUCUGCUCUUCUCUCCGUUCUCGCGAACCCAUUUUCACCCUUUUUGGAUAGACUUGUGACUGGUGACGAAAAAUGGAUCUUCUGUCGAAAUGUUAAACGUCGUAAACAGUGGCUUGGUAAAAGGGAAAAAGCUCAACCACAACCGAGAAUGGAGCUUCAUAGGAAAAAGGUUCUUUUCUCUAUCUUGUUGGAUUGCGAAGGAGUAAUUCACUUUCAACUGUUACCACUUAAUGCAACAAUCAAUGCUCAAGUCUAGUGUCAGCAAUUAGAGUAUUUGAACCAGGCUUUGAAGAAAAGAAACCCUGCUGAAGUGAAUCGGAAAGGAGUGGUGGUUCAUCAGGACAAUGCGUGACCCCACACUGCAAAGAUCACAUCACAGAAGAUCGAAGAGCUUGGUUGGGAAAAAAUUCCUCAUCCACCUUAUUCUCCAGACCUUGCUCCUUCAGACUACCAUUUGUUUCGUAGUUUACAGAAUCAUUACGGGGACAUAACUUUCGCAAGCCAGGAGGAGGUCAAAACUGGCAUUUCAGAGCUCUUCGCUUUGAAACCAAAAGAGUUUUACAUUGAUGGGAUUGAAAAGCUUGUAAAUAGAUGGAAGGAAGUCAUAGAUAAUCAGGGAAAGUACAUUGAUGAUUAAAUUUCAAUGUGCAAUCGACCCUAAUGUUUACUUUUUUAAGUCAAGUAUUUAUUGUACCGGACUCUUUUGCCAAACAGCUAAUGUUACGGGGACGUAAACAAGCCAUCAUCGGUUGUCAGUCGAAACAAAUACUGACAGAGAUAUACAGACACAGACAAAUAUACGGGGCUUCUACAUAGUUUCCAACAACUAAAUUCACAUACAAAUCAUUAGUCGCCCUGGAUGGGACUAUAGUAGCAGACACUUGCCCCAUUUCUGCGCAGUGGCACUGAACCCGAAACCACACGAUUGCAUAACCAGCUCCUUAACCACAAAGCCAUGUCUGCGCAUGUCUGGAAUUAAUUAAAUUGUUGUUAAUAAGAAUGAACUUCUGAUGAAUAACUCCUAAAAUACAGUCUUCGUCUGUCAAUUCUCAAGUUUACAAAUAUGUCAAAGUGACAUGUCAAUCAAUGAAUUUUUCUCAAAAACAUGAUCAAUAAUUACUUUAUCGAUCUUUGCAGAAUGCUAUGAGAUAAAACUAAAUACUGCAAUGCUGUUUAAUCCUGGAUUCUGUUAUUUCUACGACACCAUCCCUUCUUUGGGUUUUUAAGGAAUUGUUGUUUAAGCACAAGGUAGGUGACGUUGAGGAAAGAGGGAGGGAGAUAUAUAUAUAUAUAUAGAGAGAGAGAGCAAGUGAAAACCAUCGAAUUCACUAUUUGAAUGGUUCUUUAUUUUAUCGAUCGCAAAAGAAAAUUAAAAUUAAAAAUGACCUAACCUAGGCGUGACUCGAACUCAGAACACCAAGAGUGAGAACAAUUACCGCAAGCCAUUUUUCCGAUCCUUAAUGAUUCUGCAAGUUGUCGUGAUGACGAUGAUGAUGAUGAUGAUGGACAUCUGAUACUAGCACUCCGUCAGUUACGACGACGAGGGUUCCAGUUGAUAUGAUCCACAGAACAGCCUGCUCGUGUAAUUAACGUGCAAGUGGCUGAGCACUCCACAGACCCUUAACGUAGUUCUUAAGGAGGUUCAACGUUGCCACAGAAUAUGACAACGCUGGCCAUUUAAAAUCCAGUUGCUACUCAAUUUUGCCAGCUGUGUUGACCGGAGCAACGUGAAAUAUAGUACCUUGCUCAAGGAAACGACGGCGGCCAGGGAUCAAACGCACGAUCUUACGAUUAUGUGCCGAACGCCCUGACCACUGAGCCACGUGUCUUCACAUGCAGCUGAUACUAUAACACACAAUACCACCUAUUCUCAUGCAACUCGCAGUUUACUCAAUUGACGCCACCUUGCAAUACAGUCACUCCAUCCAGAUUCUUUUUGUAAGAAUAUUGGCCAAAAAUAUUGAAGGCGGCGAGCUGGUAGAAACGUUAGCACACCGGGCGAAAUGCUCAGCGGUAUUUCGUCUGCCGUUACGUUUUGAGUUCAAAUUCCGCCGAGGUCGACUUUGCCUUUCAUCCUUUCGGGGUCGAUAAAUUAAGUACCAGUUACACACUGGGGUCGAUGUAAUCGACUUAAUCCCUUUGUCUGUCCUUGUUUGCCCCCUCUAUGUUUAGCCCCUUGUGGGUAGUAAAGAAAUAAGAAUAUUGGUCAAAAAUCUAUAACACUGCAUUUAGUAGAGUUCCAAGCCCCAAAUUCUCAACCGUUCACUGUAGAUGCUGCUAAUAUGUUGUCAGUUACGAUGGAUACUUUUUAUGAUCGUAGUCAACAAGACUGGCUCAUGAAUGAGAAUCUUGUUGCGUAUCUCAUCCAAAUCUAGCGCUCGUCUCCUCACACAGCUACUCGCCGUUUCCCUUAUAUUAUCGACUCUUUGCAAUACUCCACUUCCUCUGGCAAUAAUUGCAGUAGGUUUGCCACUUCCCUCAAAGUCUUGGAAAAUGUAUUGCUAAAAGUUUUUAUAAUUCUGCUUGAAAACGUAUAGUAUACACCCAUCAAAAUCUAAACUAUGGUUUUGUUUGCACAUUGCCCUGCUGUCACUCUUUUCAUCCCAAUUCUGUAAACCGGCGUUCACGUGUGUAAGAGAACACAACCUAGCUUAAACCGAGCAAUGCUUUGUGUCAAAGCCAUGUUCGAGUGCUAUUUUUCUCUGCUAGCAUAUCAGUUGCGAUGCUUUUGCUUGUCGACUCAGCUUAACCCCGAUAUAACCAAUUCCAACAGACGACACUAUAUCCAUAAAAUAAAGCGGGAAAAUUAUCUUAUUUUUAAAGAUCUGAAGAUAAAGAUAACCAAUAUGUGGUGAAUCCCAAUAAUAACAGAGAAAUAAUCUCUGUAAUAUUAAUGAUACGAGGGUUAUGCCGGAAGUAACGCUAAAAUAAGUAUAAUUUUUUUUUCUUAACUGAUAUAGUUUACAUAUUAGUUGAGGAAUUCAUCUUCUAUACACUGAUACCCCAUAUAAAAACAAAAUAUCUAUCAGAUGCCAUCGUUAAACCCAACUUACAAAUCCUCUUUGAAAGAUUACAGGUGGACACAAUUGUACUUACAAACAUACACAUACACACAUACAUAAUACAUAUGUACACAGACAAUACAUUCAAACAUACAUUCAUACAUACGCACAUUACACAUAUACGUAUAUCGUUGCACACAUGCAUACAUUCAUAUAUGCAUAAUACAUACAUACAUACAUACGUAUAUGCAUAUAUAUGUGUGUAUGUAUAUAUAUAUAUAUAUAUAUAUAUAUAUAUAUGCAUACAUACAUACUUACAUACAUACAUACUUACAUACGUACAUACAUACGUACAUAAUACUAUGAUAGUAUAGGCAUUUCAAAAGGAAUAUUCCAGGGAGAGAGUCUUUCUGUACUUCCUUUCAUGUUGGCACUGAAUCCAUUAUCAUUCCUAUUGCAGAGAACAAAUGGUUACAGGCUAGGUUCUUGAACUGUUAGAAAUAUCAAUGUAACUCAUAAUUUCUUUGCAGACGUCUUGAAGAUUUAUGCUAAAAGUGAUAACAAUGCCAAAAACAAUUGUAAUUAAUAUCAACAUUUUCAGCUGAUAUAGGCAUAGAAUUUGGCCAAAAGAAAUGUUCAUAUUUGGUUACAGAUCGAGGAAAGUCAAUCCCCCAAACCCCAAACCUGUGCAUCAACGGUCUCUCUGUUUCCAUCAUUCCACACAAAGAAUGUUACAAGUACCUAGGCAUAGACGAAAAUGUAUCAAAUGAAGGCACUGUGAAUGAAGAUACAUCGACCCGAAAAUAUUACACCAGACGUAGGAGAAUAUGGCAAUCGGAACCCUCCUCUUACAACAAGGCAAUAUCCCACAAUGCAUUUGCAGUACCAGUGCUGAUCCCAACAUUUGGGAUACUUGAUUGGUCCGUAGAGAAAAUCCACUCCAUAAAUAUCAAAACCCGCAAAAUCCUGACAACAACUGGGAACUUCCACAGAAACAGUGAUGUUGCCAAGUUCUAAGAAAUGAAGAUGGUUGAGAUCAGUGCAGAGAGAUUGAGAGUUGAGAUCAGUGCAGAUGGCCUUCGAAUGACGUAUGGUAUCACUCAGGCAAAACCUGCUAAACAACAGUAGCAAAAAUAUAUAUAUAGAUUCAGUGCUGAAAAGUGAAGUGAGCAACAUUGUACGAGUUGGCAGGGAACUCCUCAAGAAACACUCUCUUCUUGAUCUCUUAUACAGCCCCAAAACAGCUGGGCUCUCUUACCUCAGAGAAGACGUGGAUGGAAAGCAUUCAGCAUACAAAACCAAAAGACCAUGUAUGGGCAUGUUGCCCGAAAGCUUGAAGAAGACACUAGAAUUGACACGAAGCGUAAUUUCUCUUGGACACAAGACCACUACAUCACACUUUGAAGGCCAUGUGUUCGCAAAGUACCUGACGAACAAGAGAGACAGUGACGCUCUUGGAAUCUCAGGGUGCAACUGCAUGUCUAGGCUAUGUCAUGUUUCUGUGGAAGACAUUAUGCAUGUGAUUAGCAGCUGUCCUAAAACGUCGAGACGGUACUACCUCCCUAUGCGGUACGAUGUUGUAGCUAAAACAGUUUACAAUGCCAUCCGCAAAAAAGACUGUCCUAAAAUAAACUUAGAAAAUUCCUCUGUUAUGGAAAUACAUUCAUAAACACCAACUCAAAGAAUACUAGUGGAAUAUUGCCAUCAAAACUUCUGUCAAAUGUAAACAUAACAGACCAGAUAUUGUUGUUUGGACAGAGGGGCAAAGGUAUGAACCAUCAUAGAGGUCAGCAGCCUUGCAGAUAUAAAUAGCUUUUUGAAAACCAAAGGGAAAGAGGAUAUCUAUGGAUAACUGCUUCGAAACCUCCAGCUUCUAUAUUCAGACUAUGAAUUCAUAUUCAUACCAAUAAUAAUUGGAGAACUAGGUCUUGUUAGUAAAUGCUUAAAGAAGAAUCUGAAUAAACUGGGAUUUUCAGAAAGAGAAAUUGACCGGCUGAUUCGUACAAGUCCAAUCUGGGAGUGGAACAGUAAAAAUAUGCAAGAUUUUCUCAAGUUCCAAAUGUGAAUUUGUCUGUGUUAACUACAUCCCAAAGAUGGAGCCUAGUAUCUUUGUAGGAAACCCGCUCCCUCCUCAGUGGAAGAUUUAUAAUAAAUAUUAAAAAAUAGAAGAGACAUACAUACAUAAAACACAAAUCUGCACAUACUUACAUAGAUACAUAUAUAUAUAUACAUACAUACAUAUAUGCAUGCAUACAAAAUACCCUAUCGUUGAUGUUGAAAUUCCAAUGAAGGAACCUUGGAUCUAGGUUAGAAACCGGUUCUUUCUCUUUUAGCAAGAAAUCUUGAAAUAAACUGAAUAAUGACAUACAUACAUACAUGUUGAAAUUCCAAGGUUAAAAAAACAUUAUUAUAUAAACAUUCAACACAAAAGAAUAAAGAAGAAAAAUGUAGCCAAUAACUCCGUAAACAUGUACUUGAACUGGCGCCGGCAUUCACCAGGGGUGGGUUGAACCAGCUCCAUACAUACAUACAUAACAUACAUAAAGAAAACAACAUUACAACCAAACUAGAAACAAGAUCGAAAUUCGAAUAAUGAUGAAGAGUACAGACAUCACCAUGGAAACGCUCAAGUAAACACCCCAACCGCAACAACAUUACUGUACGCUUGACCCGACACUUAACAAUGAACCUAAUGAAAACAGACAUAAAAAUCACAAUAGAUGAACCAGAGUUAACCUUGAGGAGUACUUUAGCAAGAUUCAGGGAUUGUGGUAAAAUCAAUGAGCGUGACUGGACAGAAACACUUGUCGUGGCAACACAUGAACGAACAACCAGACAAGGGAGUUGUGGGUAAUGACAGGACUUGAUAAGGAAUUAUGGAAGUAGAAGAACCGAAACGAGUGAAAUGUCAAUAGAGUUUCUGAUUUCAUCUGUUUAGGAAUAGACUCGGUAAAGAUCAAGAGCCAGACGUGAUCAGGUGAGAAAACGAUGUGUGUGUGCGCGCCUGUGUGGGUGAGUGUGUGUACCUGUGUGUGAGUGUGUGUGUGUGCCAGUGUGCCUGUGUAGUGCGUGUGUGUGUGUGCCUGUGUAGUGCGUGUGUGUGAGAGUGUGUGCUUGUGUAUGUGUGUGUGCCUAUGUAUGUGUGUGUGUGCCUGUGUGUGUGCCUGUGUGUAUGUGUGCAUGUGUGUGCCUGUGUGUGUGCCUGUGUGUGUGUGCCUGUGUGUAUGUGUGCCUGUGUGUGUGCUUGUGUGUGUGUGCCUAUGUCUGUGUGCCUGUGUGUAAGUGUGCGUGUGCGAGUGCCUGUGUGUGUGUGUGUCUCUGUGUCUGUGUGUAUGUGUAUGUGUGCGCGUGCCUCUGUGUGUGUGUGUGUGUACCUCUGUGGUGAGUAUGUGUGUGCCUGUGUGUGUUGUGACUAAACGAAAGAAAGUAGCACUCAAUACAUCCUUUUUGCAGUCACAUGUUUAUAAUAACAAGUUUCGUGGGCAGACGGGGUAAACAUCCAUCUCAUCAGAUGUUAGGAGUCAAACAUAAGGGUGUGGCCACGUAACGACACACGUGCUUUUCUCCGAACUCUCUGCUCCUUCCUGCCCUUCCUCUUCUCUAGACUUGUCCCUCUUUCCGACGAAGAACCAUGCUUGAGACGUCCUUUCCUAUAUUCCCAUCGAAAACUUUCACUGUGUAAGUCCAAUUGACUUCUGUUCUUUUAUUCUUUUACUUGUUUCAGUCAUUUGACUGCGGCCAUGCUGGAGCACCGCCUUUAGUCGAGCAAAUCGACCCCAGGACUUAUUCUUUGUAAGCCUAGUACUUAUUCUAUCGGUCACUUUUGCCGAACCGCUAAGUUACGGGGACGUAAACAUUCCAGCAUCGGUUGUCAAACGAUGUUAGGGGGACAAACAUAUACACACAUACAUAUAUAUACAUAUAUACAACGGGCUUUCAGUUUCCGUCUACUAAAUCCACACACAAGGCCUUGGUCGGCCCGAGGCUAUAGUAGAAGACACUUGCCCAAGGUGCCACGCAGUGUGAAUGAACCCGGAACCAUGUGGUUCGUAAGCAAGCUACUUACCACACAGCCACUCCUGCGCCUCGUUGUUUAUCUUUUUUUUUUCUUGAAUUUGACGAUGGAUACAGGAAAGAAUAUAUGAAAAAUGUAAUUCUUAAGACCAACUCACAUAUUCAUAGCGUGUGGUGGCGUGUAUACAUCUUCGACAAAAACAAUUAUUGUGAUGCUCAAUUUAAUAAAUGAUAUUAAACAUAACAGGCGCAGGAGUGGGCGUAUGGUAAGAAGCCUGCUUCCCAACCACAUGGUUCCGGGUUCAGUCCCACUGCGUGGCACAUUUGGCAAGUGUCUUCAACUACAGCUUUGGGCCGACCAAAGGCUCCUGAGUGGAUUUGGUAGACAGAAACUGAAAGAAGACCGUCGUAUAUAUAUAUGUGUGCGUUUUUUGUGUGUGUAUGUGUGUGUAUUUGUGUGUCUGUGUUUGCACCCUCACCAUUACUUGACAACCGAUGUUGGUGGGUUUACGUCCCCGCAUCUUAGCGGUUCGGCAAAAGAAUCAGAUAGACUAAGUACUAAGCUUACAAAGAUUAAGUCCUGGGGUCGAUUUGUUUGUCUAAAGGUGGUGCUCCAGCAUGGCCGCAGUCAAAUGACUGAAGUAAGUAGAAGAAUAAGAGAAUAAUAUAUUUACGUUUCGAAUAAUUCCACCGUAGAAUUCAUUAAUGGCUGAUUUCGCAUGCGAACUCUGGAAUUAUAUUUUCUUAAUACCCUUAUCAAGUCCUGUCAUUACCCACAACUCCCUUGUCUGGUUGUUCGUUCAUGUGUUGCCACGACAAGUGUUUCUGUCCAGUCACGCUCAUUGAUUUUGCCACACUCCCUGAAUCUUGCUAAAGUACUCCUCAAGGUUAACUCUGGUUCAUCUAUUGUGAUUUUUAUGUCUGUUUUCAUUAGGUUCAUUGUUAAGUGUCGGGUCAAGCGUACAGUAAUGUUGUUGCGGUUGGGGUGUUUACUUGAGCGUUUCCAUGGUGAUGUCUGUACUCUUCAUCAUUAUUCGAAUUUCGAUCUUGUUUCUAGUUUGGUUGUAAUGUUGUUUUCUUUAUGUAUGUUAUGUAUGUAUGUAUGGAGCUGGUUCAACCCACCCCGAGUGAAUGCCGGCGCCAGUUCAAGUACAUGUUUACGGAGUUAUUGGCUACAUUUUUCUUCUGAAACAAGUAAAAGAAUAAAAAGUAAAACAGGAGAAAACAGAAAAUGAGUUAAUUAAUGAAAAGCAUUUGUUAAUUUCCUGGGAACAGAAAUACGAGUAAAGCAGCUCCAGUAAUGAAACUGCACAUUAACGAUGCUGUGUGAUAAUGGAAGGCAGCCAUAUUGCCCUAUGACGAAGAGGACGUGUUUAAACCAUCUCCGAUACGCAUAAAAAGAGAAACAUUACAGGGCGACACAUUAUUUCCUCCUCUCUGCUGAUCUCAUAAACAAAUCGGCUGAAUUAAAACCCCAAUAGUUAUGAAUGUGACGGACAAAUUAUAAAUUAUAUCAUUAUACGUAUGGCUUAAUACUGCUUACAAGAGACAAUACCGAAGUAACUAUUAAUUGGACAUGAACUCAAUCAAUUACGUAUGGAUGAGCUCAGGAUAAGAGAAAUGCGUCAAAGAUGCAAGAGGAAGAAAAUUAAUAAAACUGAUAACAUUAAAUUAAUCCAGUUCUUAAAAUCAGAAAAUUAUAACUAAUUACGGCUUUCAUUCGCAAUUGAGGAUAAACUGGUAUCAACAUGCAUCAUAUUUUUCGCUAAAUAUUUCUGGGGUGCCUAUGCUGUUGCGAGUAGUCAGAGAGACGAAAAGCCUCUUUCACCGUCACAUCCUUUACUCAAAGGAACAUUCUAGAUGUGACAGCUGGGAUGGGACAAGUUUAAAAGUUAAUCUUAAAGAUCUUCCUAAAAAUCCUAAUCGGAUUCCAGAGAUGAAAUACGAAGUGCCAGUAGCUUUGCAGUUUGCUGAAGAUAUUAAUCGCAUAUAUCAUAAAAAGAAUGAGAAUGAUUCCGGCCAUUACUUCACUGAUGCUUUAUUAUUAUUGAGUGAGAGAGCAGUGCAUGCCAUCAAAGUGACACUGGGGUAAAAUAUACGAAGCCCAGUAUACCCAUCAUGACUACCCAUCUGAUAAGGGUACACUAGCCACAUGCAUCACAACCAUAUGUGUGCCAUAUGGUGAUCUCAUAUCAAAAUAAACAGCACAUGACCUUGCAGGUGGGGACCAGUUAUAAUUUUCUUCUGGUCGAGUAGCUCACCCCGCUCAAAAGGUCCCUGAAUAAGGAUGUUGAACGAAACACCCAUGUUUCCAGAGGUGAAUUAUUCAAACCCCAAAGAAUCCAUCUCAACACAUGGCUAUGAUGCUCCCCCACUACUUCUGCUCGUGAUCAGAGAUGCACAUAUCAUCAGCCUCCAAGAGACAUGCUCAACUGGUUAAGGUCAAACAACUGACAAGUAAAUCUGUGGUAUUGAGCAGAAUAUUUGCUGUAGCCCAUCUUUUAUACCAAGACAAAACAAUGUACAUGAUAACACUUCCAAUCAGCUAAGAUCAGAAGCCACGAGAGCCACUGCCUGGUACUACAUCAGGGCAAUUAUUAUCAUUAUUAUUAUUAUUAUUAUUAUUAUUAUUAUUAUUAUUAUUAUUAUUAUUAUUAUCAUUGUUGUUGUUGUUGUUGUUGUUGUUGUUGUUGUUGUUAUUUGACAUCGAAAACGCGAAAGAUAAAGGUGAUUUUGAUCUCUGAACCUAAGAAGAAAUAUCACAAGACAUUUGUUCGGCGUUCUGACUAUUCUGCCAUUUCACUACCAUAUAAGCUAUCCAUGCGAACGAUUAGGAGUAGAGGAAACUGAUAAGAUAUGACAUACAGAAAAGGAACUCUAUAGCAGAGCCAGACUAAUAUUAAAUAUUGAACUCAAUGUUAGAAAUAAAAAUUAUAGGAGUAAACACCCUACAAUUUCACUUAGAGAUUACUGUUUCAACAUAAACUAGACUAAGUAAAUUGUGUACCUAAACAGAAAACUAGAAAAUUACUUAUACAGAUUUGAGAUCACUAGUCCAGUUCUUCUUGUGUUUAGCGUAGAUAAAAUUUGAAUGACAGGCUUUGAUACAAAUAGAAAAUUACUACGUAGUGACAAUAGUAGGACUAGAAAAACACUUAGAAGGAUGCAAAAAUGGAAAAUGCUAAGAGUAAUAAAGGAACAUGGAGAAAGCAAAAACGAUCUUUUCUUUGUAAAUAGGGAAGUGUUUAGAAGUUAACCACUGUGAAGAAAGAAUAUCCAAAUAAAGACAAACCAGCAGAAAGCUUUAAAAGGCAAAAGGAAAAUAGCAUUCCAAAAUAUGGCAAAACGCUACGAGACAUUUUUCUCUUGAAUGGUGAGUAGAGAAAGUAAGUCAGAGUGAAAGGCAACAACAGAUCAAAAGCUAUGAGUUGAAAGCAGAAGAGGGAGGUCUGAUUUAGCUUCAUAACACACACACGCGCACACACACGCACGCAUACGCGCGCAGACACAGAAUUAUUUGAACAAAAUGAAACAAGAGACCAACAACAACUACAGUACAUGCAAUCAGUGCAAUGAAACAGCUGACCAUAUCUUUUGCUUCUGUCCUUGCAAAACCAGAGUGUAUCUAUGGACAUGAUUGAGAGGACGUGCAUGCCGAUACUCAGACUUGAAAACGCAUUGAAAGCUAGAUGUGAUCAUGCACGAAACAUGAAACAAUUUACAACGUUCUGUCCACAAUAGUACGGGACGUAGCUUUUCAGACUUACGCGUAAACCAAGGCAGAAUGAAUCUCCUUUUCGAUUCCUUCUGGUUAUGGCGAUCAUAUAUCUUUACUACCCACAAGGGGCUGAACAAAGAUGGGACAAACAAGGACAGACAAAGGGAUUAAAUCGAUUACAUCGACCCCAGUGCGUAACUAGUGCUUAAUUUAUCGACCCCGAAAGGAUGAAAAGCAAAAUCGACCUCGGCGGAAUUUGAACUCAGAACGUAGCGGUAGACGAAAUACCUAUUUCUUUAUUACCCACAAGGGGCUAAACACAGAGGGGACAAACAAGGACAGACAUAGGUAUUAAGUCGAUUACAUCGACCCCAGUGCGUAACUGGUACUUAAUUUAUCGACCCCGAAAGGAUGAAAGGCAAAGUCGACCUCGGCGGAAUUUGAACUCACAAUGUAACAGCAGACGAAAUACCGCUAAGCAUUUCACCCGGCGUGCUAACGCUUCUGCCAGCUCGCCGCCUUGGUUAUGGCGAUCUUGAAAUUAAAAUAAGCAGACUGUCUGUGCGGUAUGAAAAUGAAAACAGUAUUAUUAAUAAAUGGAGCAGCUGAUACGAUAAAGAAGAUAAACGGUAACCUAGAAAGUACACCAGGACAAAGAAUUCUGCACAAGGGUUAAGAAUAACCCUGCUAGACACUGGUCAUAUCUUUCCUACACAGGUCACUGGCAAUUCAAUAAUACUACUUAUAUAAUGGCCUUUCUACACGUCUCAUACAACGCUUAUUGCACAUAUACUCUUCACAAUCGUCAUCCGACCAACACAAAACAUACGGCAUCUACUCUACGCCAUCAUACUCAAUAAAACAACCCAUGCAUACAGUUCUAUAAUCAAUAUCCGAUGAGAUGACACGCACCUUAUACACUAAUGACGACUCAAACAACUAAUAACUUACAAAAAGUAACAACAAAAUCAGGGAGCACCAAAUCGAAUGAUAAUAAAAUAUAUAAGGCGAUGAACUGGCAGAAUUCUUAGCAGGCUGGGCGAAAUGCUUAGCGAUAUUUCGUCUGUCUUUACGUUCUGAGUUCAAAUUCCGCCGAGGUCGAUUUUGCCUUUCAUUCUUUCAGGGUCGAUAGAUUAAGUACCAGUUGUGUACUGGGGUCGAUCUAAGUGACAGGCCCCCUCGCCCCAAAAUGUCAGGCCUUGUGUUUAGAGUAGAAAAGGAUAAUAAUAUAUAUACGAGCCAUUCUAUAAUCAAAACACUAACUCUUACACACAACUAAAUCCACUCACAAGGCUUUGGUUGACCCGAGGUUACUGAAGACACUAGUCUAAGGUGUCAUGCAGUGGGACUGAACCUGGAACCAUCUAGUAGGGAAGCAAACGUCUUACCACGCAACCACGCCUACACAAUUAUUUUGAUGGAAACAGUUUUUAAUGUUUUUUAAUGUUUUUUUUUUCAAUUUGUUAAAGAGUGGUGGAUUCGUAGAAUUGUUUGAGUGUCAAUAAAAAUGUCUUGUAGUAUUUCUCCUGGUUUUUUAAUGUUCUGAGUUCAAAUCUCUCCCAAGGCAGUUUUACCAUUCGUUCUAUGGGAUCGAUAAAAUGAAGUAGCAGUCAAGUGUUGGGGAUCAAUAUUCACCCUAUUCCCUUAAAAUUCCUGGCCUUGUGCCAAAAUUAAAAAGCAUUAUUAUAUGCUGCGAAUUGGCAGUACCGUUUAUGCCUCGUGCAAAAUGGUUAGUGAUAUUUCUUAGUUCUGAGUUCAAAUUCCACCGAGGUAGACUUUACCUUUCAUCCUUUCAGGGUCAACUAAGCACCAGUUUAGCGCUGGGAUAAAUGUAAUCAAUUGUGCUCAAAUUAGCAAGAAUAUUAGAUAAUAUGCGGUAAAAAAAAUGCACAACAGUAUUCCUUGUGGCCCUUCCCGCUCUUGGCGGCAUUUUCCUGAUUAUUUAUAUUUUGAGUUCAAAUACCUUUGAGGCUAAUUUUACCUUUUAGACUCCCGGGUUCAUAAAAUAAAGUAGCAGUCAAAGACUGGGGGCGACCCCUGUUGUCUUCUUUCAAAAUUGCUUUCGUGUGUCUAAGAACCAAUAUCAGGCCAUGGAUCAUGGCAUUGAUACUAAUUUUGUGAAAUUGUUUUAUUGAUCAAGUUUUUAAAAAAAAUUAUUCUUGUAUAUGAAAACUGCAUGAUAUAGUUUUUAAUUAACCUCCAAAAAUUGAGUGAAAACAAAAACUGUCGACUCCAUAUGGCAUCCCUCAGUUUUAAUUAAGAAUUUUAUCUGGAAAAGUCCCAGAAUAACUAUUAUCUAAAUAUUUUUUCUUUUCCUAAGAACAGUUUCUAGUCAGUGGAAUAUGUCAAAAAAAUUUCCACUUAAUAAAAAAAUCGUUCCUCUCAGAAAUUAAAAACUACGGGACAGGAGAGGAAGGAGGGAAGAAGAGGGGGAAGAGAGAGUAAGGGAGGGAAAAGAGAGGGUCAGAGAUAGAAAUACAGAAAGAGAGAGAGGAAGAGGGAAGAAAAGAGACAGAGAAUGAGAAAGAAAGACAGGGAGAGAAAAAGUGAGACAGAGGCUGAAAGUGAAGGGGAGAGGAAGAAAGAGACAGAGGGCAAGAAAGAAAGAGGGAUAAGAAGAGAGAAACAGAGAGAGAGAGAAAGGGAGAGAUGGGGAAGAGAAUGAGUGUGAGUGUCUCUGUGUGUUUUACCAGAACAGUCUUAAUGAAUUAAUGGAAUUUAUAAUUAAAGACAAAUUGGUAAAUUGUUUUUUUAGAAGUAAAAACCUUGAUAUCUAACUUACCGAUCGAACUCUUAUCUAAAGCUCAUCGAUAAUUAAUCAGUUUUGAACGUGUUUAAAUAAAUAGAGGAAAGUUUUAGAUUCACAGGCGUGGCUGUGCAGUAAGAAGUUUACAUUCCAACCACAUCGUUUCAGGUUCAGUCCCACUGCGUAGCACCAUGGACAAGAGUCUUCUACUAACGGCACGGACCGACCAAAGUCUAGUGAAACGGAAACUGAAAGGAACUGGUUGUAUAUAUAUAUGUGUGUGUGUGUGUGUGUGUGUUUAUCUCCCAACCCACCGAUUGUCAACCGGUGUUGGUGUGUUUACGUCCCUGUAAUAUUAGCGGUUUGGCAAAAAGAGAUCGAUAGAAGUACCAGGAUUAAAAAGGAAACAUAAGCCCUAGGGUCGAUUCGUUCGACUGAAAUUCAUCAAGGAGGUACCCCAGCAUGGCCGCACUCUAUAAACUGAAGCAAGUAAAAGAUAAAAGCUUGGCUGUAAUUAACCGAGAUAUUGUCAAAGCAAUUAAUAGAGUUUCAUGUGUAAUAUUGAUUGUAAAUACUAAUUAGUGUUCACGUGAUAAGUAAAUAAAUGAAUUAGUUAUCAUUUAAAUAAUGAAGAACAAUGGCUGCCUAAAUGACUUUUCCUCAAAUAGUUGACUAACCACUUCCGGUGUGCCAUGAAGUUGUUUACUCGGCCCUGUUUCAAUUUAAAUCAAUAAUAAUAAUCUACAAGGCGACGAACUGGCAGAAUGGUUAGCACACCAAGCGGACUGCUUAGAGGCGUUUCGUCCGUCUUCAUGAUCUGAGUUCAAAUUCCCACUCAAAAGGUCCCUGAUUAAGGUUGUUUAAGGAUGUUGAAUGAAACACCCAUGUUUCCAGAGGUGAAUCAUUCAAACCCCAAAGAAUCCAUCUCCACACAUGGCUAUGAUGCUCCCCCACUACUUCUACUCGUGAUCAGAGAUGCACAUAUCGUCAGCCACUAAGAGACAUGCUCAACUGGUUACGGUCAAACAACUGACAAGCAAAUCUGUGGUAUUGAGCAGAAUAUUUGCUGUAGCCCAUCUUUUAUACCAAGACAAAACAAUGUACAUGAUAACACUUCCAGUCAGUUAAGAUCAGAAGCCAUGAGAGCCGCCGCCUGGUACUGCAUCAGGGCAUUUAUUAUUAUUAUUAUUAUUAUUAUUAUUAUUAUUAUUAUUAUUAUUAUUAUUAUUAUCAUUAUUAUUAUUAUUAUUAUUAAUAUUGUUGUUGUUGUUGUUGUUCUGAAAGACUCUCGGAUAGUUCUUAAUUACCGCUUAUUCUUUACUUGAAAGCAACAACAAAUCCCCAAAGAUUUCAAGUAGUACCUUCUCCUGCGACUCAAAGAGACUAUACUCUCCUUAGAAUGCGAGCUGUACCCAACAAUGCUGUCUUCUGGAUCACCUCAAGUCUGACAGUAGCUCCAAUAUUCUUAAUAUGUUUUUGGAAACUGCUCCUAAUGCUCCAAUUACCACCGGUAUCACUAUUACUUUCCUCAUGACCCAUAACUUUCUUAUCUCGUCCCGCAGUGUAUGGUAUUUCUCAAUCUUUUCUGUUUCCUUACAUUCCUGCUAUUGCAACAUCUAUUAUCUUUACAUCUUUUUCAUCUUUAUGGAUGAUCACGAUAUCUGGUCAUCUCGCCUCUACGACUUGGUCGCACUGUAUGUUAAAAUCCUAGAAUAUUUUGUAAUGUUCGUUUUCCGUUAUUCCCUCUGGCUUAUGUUCAUACCACUGUUCGGCUUUCUCGUGGUUUGCUUUACAACACAACAGCCAGUGGACAUAUCUGGCCACAUUGUCGUAUCACCUUUUAUAUUCGCGUUGUGUGACCUUACAGCAUUCACUAACAAUAGGGCUUAUACUUUCUUCCUUCUCAGAGAACAUCCUACACUGUGGCAAGUGUAGGAUGGUAUGAUUAAAUAUUGUAAGUUUUUGGAUAAUUUUCGGGUUUUAAAAGUUGGCAUUUUUUUUUUUUGCCGACGAGGGGCUGCGUCUGCGCAGUAGAUUUUGAAAUAUUAUUUAUUUGCUAAACUAAAAUCAGAAACCAAUUGGUCCAGGAAACUAGAUAGUAAAAACUUUUUCUUUUUUCAAUUCGUUCCUGCCGGAUUUUAUCCCUAAUUUUGUGGUUAUAGAACCUAGCUGUUAUUUCUAACGUGUUGAAUCUCACGAGUGGAUUCCUUAUGUGUUUAAAUGUACACUGUAUGUAUGUAUGUAUGUAUGUAUGUAUGUAUGUAUGUAUGAAUAUAUAUAUAUAUAUAUAUAUAUAUAUAUAUAUAUAUAUAUAUAUAUAUAUAUAUAUAUAUAUAUAUAUAUAUAAGAGGUAGUCAGAAUUUUGGAUAAUUCUUUAUUAACGUUUUCGUUUGUUUAACCGAACUCUUCAAGAAAAAUUGAGCGAAAACCCUAACAAAGAAUUAUCCAAAAUUUUGACUGCCACCUUUUUCUUAAUUUACAAUGUCUGUAGUACACAUCAAACACUCUAUGCAUACACAUCAAACACCCUAUACGUACAUACAUACAUACAUACAUACAUACAUACAUACAUACAUACAUGGUGGCUGCUCCUUCGUUAUCGAGUAUGGCCAUUGCGCAAAGCUUAAUAAAUGUUGUUAUCACACAAUACCUGUGCAAGAAGAUUUUUUUUUAAGUGAGGAAAGGCUGUGCACUGAGUCAAUCCCACUCACUAAGCAACAGCAGUCAUAAUACGAAAAGAAGAACAAGUCAACAUCAUCGGUAACCACUGAGCCGCAGGUUUUAUGUCGGAGUUAUCCCAGUUUCCUGAGUUACCUUCUCCUAGAAGGAUGCCCUAACAAAGGCUAGGAGUCCUUCAAUCCCAAUGGUUUAACCGCGCGAUCGGGUAUUCAAUCCGAUUAUUUCUAUGUCCCCGCGCAUGAUACAGCCUUAAGACAUUUAUUGGAUGGCCGUUGACUCUCAAGAGUUCCCCCGCCCUUUGACGGGUUUUGUUUUUCAUCCCGCAGGGUGUCCAAUAAACACCCUCCUCACCAAGCAAGCUUGCUGGGGUUGCCGGUUUAGACGCCGACGACCCGACCAUGCAACAGGUUGUACUGGGUUAUCUGUUACCAGUAGCACUCGAAAGUGACCUGACAUAACAUACAUACAUACAUACAUACAUACAUACAUACAUACAUACAUACAUACACGCAUACAUACAUACACUCAUACAUACAUACAUACAUACAAACAUACAAACAUGCAUACAUACAUACAUGCAUACAUGCAUACAUACAUACACUCAUACAUACAUACAUACAUACAUACAUACAUGCAUACAUACAUACAUGCAUACAUACAUACAUACAUACAUACAUACAUACAUACAUACAUACAUACAUACAUACAUAGACCAGCAGAGACACCCAGUCUUGCUCAAGAUUAAAAUGGCAUAGUUUUUAAUGUUUUACUUGUUUCAGUCAUGUGAUUGUGGCCAUGCUGGAGCACCGCCGUUGGUCGAACAGAACAACCACAGGAUUUAUUCUUUGUCAGCCUAGUACUUAUUCUAUCAAUAUCUUUUGCAGAAGCGCUAAGUUAUGGGAAUGUGAACACAGCAACAUCGGUUGUCAAGCAAUGGUGGGGGUACAAACAAACACACACACACACACACACACACACACACACAACUAUACACAUAUAUGCGACAGGACUCCUUACAUGCUAAAAAGGCCAGUUAAAUCCUAAACCACGAAAAAGAGAAUUCAUGAGGCACACCAAUAAUUAUAACACCAGAACGAACAAAAUAUAAAUUAGUUAAUCCUGAACUCGGGUUUCGCUAUUCAUUUCCAAAUAAACUAAUUUGGAAUCUGUAGCUCGUCAGCUUUUCGUUCUGGUCUUAUAAAUGGCGUGCCUCAUGAAUUGUCUUCUUUGGAGUUUUAGCUUUAACUGCCCUUUUUAGCAUGUAAAAAGUCCUGUCAGUGGUCUCCUCUUUGUGUAUAAAGAUAUUUCAUACACUCUUAUAUCUUAAAAAAUAUGUUAUGUCUUAUGACUUUAAUUUAUGCAUGCUAACCACUGGUAAGAAAUUAUGUUAAUCUAUUACCCUCAUAUUUACGAUAAUAAUCAUGUGUGUGUGUGUGUGUGUGUGUGUGUAUACACAACUGAUCAUUAAAAACGAGUAAUUUAUUGAGGUUAUUCAACAAUAUUUUGCAGAACCCUCAUUUGUCAUGUACGAAAGGACAGUCCAUCCGAUAAUAUGUAUGUAUGCAAUCAUGUAUAUAUGUAUGGAUGCAUGCAUGCAUGCAUGCACGCAUGCAUGUACCUGUUUGUCUGCCUAUCUGUUUGUCUAUUUAUCUAUCUCUGAAUGCAUGUAUGUCUAUAUGUGUCCGAAUUGUUCGUUACCUGUCCAUUGUAUAUACAAGACAUUAGAAAGCAUUAACCCUUCGACAUGAAAGAGAAACAUCAGUUCAGCCAAUCCCAAAGCAUUAAACAAAACAAUAGAAACACUUCUGAAACAUUAAUCGCUAAUGUAACUGCUUCUCCAACAUCUAUUUACCAUUUGAUGAGAACCACCUACCCACAGUCCACACACACACACACACACACACAGGCGCGCGCGCGUGUGUUGUAGGUUCUCAACGCGAUAUUAAGAUCUAUACAAGAUACUCUGUAACCAAGGAAAACAAUACAUGAAAUCUUCAUUGAAAAGUCAAGUGCAAUUUCUAGAAACAGCUAUGUAUUUAUUCAGAAAGGACAAAUCAUUAAAGGACAAAUCAUUAAAGUAUUUUCGCUAUCUUUCAUCAUAUCGCUUUUCCUGUUCAUUUUGAAUUUGUGCAGGAAAAUAGACCGUUUAAAUGGAUGUUAACAUUUAUUUUUAUGUUCUGUUGUCGUUUGUUAUUCGGGCGUCAUAGAUGACUGCUUUCUGUGUUUAUUGAAUGGAGAAAGUAGCUCAGGUGUGAUUUUUAUGUCGGCCUGUUUACCUGUUGACAGCAGCAAGGCAAAUGCUGCUUGUUGGACAAUGUCUUAGGGGAUUUAGAGUUGCUUGAUAGAGAAGUAAAAUCACUGGGAAACCGAUCCGCGACUGUUCUUUAUUCUUUGAAAAACCUUGGUCAAGACCGCUGACAGGGAACAGAGAUACCGCCGUCGUUGGCGGUGAACUUAAUUGCGAUUGUGACUGAAUGGAGCGAUAUGGGGUGGACUGACGAUGAUGAUGAUGAUGAUGAGGAGGAGGAGGAGGAGGAGGAGGGGGGAGGGUAAUUGCUUGACAUGUUAAAUGGAAAUAAAUAAACUUCAGUUUUCGAUAUCAUCUAGAGAAGCCGGGACCGGGUGGGACUGAAAGACAAAAGUGAUCGGAACAAAUCGAUCAAAAGUUAGUACUUAUGUCCCACAUUAUAUGCUGCGGAAACGAAUUCGAUUCGCGAUCGAACUGGGGAAAAACAUUGAAAAGGAAAGCCAAUGCAAAAUGCUUGCUUAAGUACAAAAUCGAUCUCACUAUCACCUGAAAUAAAAGUACAUUGCUGUCAUGGGCUUCAACAUACGUCAAUGUCUUUACCAAAUCAAAUACGACCGUGUCCUGAGACAUUUGUUGGUGUUUGCUUUUCAUUAUUGAUCUCUGUCUAAGGCGGCGAGCUGGCUGAAACGUUAGCACGACGGGCGAAAUGCUUAGUGGUAUUUCGUCUGCCGCUACGUUCUGAGUUCAAAUUCCGCUGAGAUCGACUUUGCCUUUCAUCCUUCGGGGUCGAUAAAUUAAGUACCAGUUGCAUACUGGGGUCGAUCUAAUCCACUAACCCCCUUCCCAGAAAUUUCGGGCCUUCUGCCUAGAGAAGAAAAGAUGAUUGAUCUCUGUCUAAAGACUGUUUUACAAAUGUAAAAAUUCUUAAUAACGCCAGUAAUUAGCACGCAAGUCAUUAUGCAAAUCAUUGUCUCCUAUUUAGGCACAGGCGUAACUGUGUGGUAAGAAGCUUGGUUCUGGGUUCAGUCCCACUGCGUGGCACCUUCGGCAAGUGUCUUCUACUAUAAACUGUAUGCUGCAUAUAAGCUUGGAAAGAGGAGUAACUCUUUGGUAAGAAGCUUGCUAUCCAACCACAUGGUUCCAGGUUCAGUCCCACUGCGUGGCACCUUGGGCAAGUGUCUUCUACUAUAGCCUCGGGCCGACCAAAGUCUUGUGAUUGGACCUGGUAGAAGGAAACCGAAAGAAGCCCGUCGUAUAUAUAUAUAUAUAUAUAUAUGUGUGUGUUUGUGUCUGUGUUUAUUCCCCCACCAUCACUUGACAACCGUUGUCGGUGUGUUUAUGUCCCCCUAACAUAGCGGUUCGACAAAUAAAUAAAUCCUGGGGUCGAUUUGUUCGACUAAAAGGCGGUGCUCCAGCUUGGCCGCAGUCAAAUGACUGAAACGAGUAAAGAUUAAAGUAUAUCUUAGAGUUAAACCUACGAAACAGAAAAAUUUCCCUUUGCGAUUGAAAACGAAUUAUAAAAAAAGUAACAAAGAAACAAUGUCUCGAGGGAAAUGGUUAGAGUUAAAAACCCGAGAGAGAAGUCACAUAAUAAUAAUAAUAAUAAUAAUAAUAAUAAUAAUAAUAAUAAUAAUAAUAAUAAUAAUAAUAAUAAUAAUAAUAAUAAUAAUAAUAAUAAUAAUAAUAAUAAUAACAACAACAACAACAACAACAAUAAUAAUAAUAAUAAUAAUAAUAAUAAUAAUAAUAAUAAUAAUAAUAAUAAUAAUAAUAAUAAUAAUAAUAAUAAUAAUAAUAAGGACUCUCAAAACGUGCUAGGAUGGUGAUGAGACGAGGAAAGCUUGCCAGGACAGAAGGCAUAUUGUUGCCAAAUGGUGGAAUGAUGAAGGCAAUUCAACCUCAAUCCAGCUAUAGAUACUUGGGAAUGUUCAAGGCAGAUGGAAUCAAACACAAUGACAUGAAAGAAAAGACAAAAGGAGAGUGCCUGUGGUGAGUGAGAAAAUUAUUGGCUUCAAAACUGAAUACCAGAAACAUAAUAUCGACAAUAAACUCGCGCACAGUUGCAGUAGUUCGGUUUGGUGCUGGAAUCCUGAAGUGGACAGUGAAGGAGCUAAAGGAAAUGGACAGGAAGUCAAGAAAGCUCUUAGCAAUGCAUGGAGCCCAUCAUCCACGUGUAGAUACUGAUCGCCAUUACAUGAAGAGAGCAAAUGGAGGAAGGGGACUGAUAAAUGUGGAAGACUGCGUGCGUAUCGAACUCGAAAGCUUAAUGAGAUACCUAGCACAAAGUAAGGAAACCUUGCUAGCGACAGCUGAGAACGAAAUAGUAUUGAGAGCAGAGGAAAAGAGAAGACAAAGGAAGAAGUACAAAAAGGACAUGAAGAAGAAUUGAGGGACUACACAAUCAAUUCCAUGUAGCCACAACAGAAAUUGCUGGAAAAAAUAGGUAGCAUUGGCUGAUGAAAGGAACCCUUAAAAAUGACCGAGAGAUUAUGGAAUGUAUGAACCUAUUUGGUAUUGCAUCGAAUGUUGAGCGAUUGCUUGGAAAAAGUAUGGCGAAGUGGAGGACGGAACUGACAGCAUAGGAAAGAAGUUUAGGGACAAUAGAGAUCAGGAGAGGCAUCUUCGAAAGGGACUGCCUGUCCCCACAGAUCUUUGUACCGUGCAUGAUACCACUAACACUGAUUCUGAGGAAAGCAAAGGCUGGGUAUUUAUUCAAAAGUCGCCAACAAAAAGUCAACCAUUUGUUAUUCAUGGAUGACCUCAAACUUUAUGGUAAAGAUGAAUCCCAAGUCAGUUCCCUCGGUGAUACGGUGUAUACUUUCAGUGCUGAUAUCAGAAUGGAGUUUGGACAGAGAAAGUGUGGUGUGUUAGUCUUGAAGAGAGGCAAAAUCAAAUGUAUGGAUAUCGACGCGGUAGGUUAUGAAGCAAAUAGAAGAAACGGGCUAUAAGUACUUCAGGAUGUUGGAAAUGGAUAAAUUGAUGGAGAAAGAAAUGACAGAACAAUUUAAUGUGGAGUACUUGCGCAGACUAAUUAUUUUCGCUUUGUAAGAAUUGUCUAGCUUCGAAAAAUGCUCAAUUUAGUUUAAUUUAUUUAUCUGAGAUUAUGCCGUGCUGAUGAUUUCAAAUAAAGAUGAAAUGGUACUAAAGGUGGUCACCUAAAAAUGAAUAUUUUAAGAUUUUUACGAGAACAAAAAGAAUUAAAUGUGUAUAUUCCAUGCACAUUCAACUUUACUCCUGAAUUUAAAAUUCAAAUUACCUAUCCUGCCAUAAUUUAAUCUAGAAAAUAUUGUCUCCCAUGAAAUAGCAGAUCGCCAAGGCUGCUCCACGUUGUGUUGAUUUUAGUGCAAUUUUCCUGCAACCUCUUUUUGGUUAAGAGACUACGUGGAGGAUUUCUCAGUGCAGAUGCAGAAAUAGUAGCUAGAAUAUUGACAGGUUAUGUAUAAACCAGUCUAUUUGAGAAUUAACUUUUCCCCUCGUCAUCAUAUCUUAAAACUGAGAAGUAAUAUCCCAAAAGUCGGAGUAAAACUGGACUGGCUUUUGUCUACAGCUGAUAAGAAACCAACAAAAUAACAACUUCACUAACAGUGCUUCUUCCGAUCGUCCAGCAAUAACAUUAUAUACAGUUUAUUUACGUUUUAGCACAUUUUCUUUUCUUCUCUUUAUAAUUUUCGUCUAUAACUACAAACCAGAUGUGUCUGUGCCUCUCCAACAAUAGGGAGUAUUCCCCAUAUUUCAUUCCAUAAUGACUGCCUCUGAUGAGCGCAGGAUUACAUAAUCGGACUGUUACUUAACACUCCGUUGAACCCCCAGUGCGAAACUGGUUGGUAUAUAUAUUAAUAUAUACAUCGUAGCUCUUAGCUCCGGCAUUUGAAACUCUGAGUAUUAUUAUAACAACUUAUUGAUUAUCCUAAACUAUAUAUAUAUAUAUAUAUAUAUAUAUAUAUAUAUAUAUAUAUAUAUAUAUAUAUAUAUAUAUAUAUAUUGAAAUUUACAGAAAAACAAAAGAUGAAAACAGAUGUAUGAACAACAAGAAGGUGUAUUAGUUUGACGCUCGGAAAUGGGAGAAAGUCUUUUACGUUUCGAACCUACGCUCUUCAACAGAAAGGAACACGAGGAAAUAAACAGGAAGAGAAUAAAAAAACUUUGGGAAUUAGCGGUCAAUCAUGGCGACUGGCUGGACAAAGGUAGUUCGACAGUCAUAUAUAUAUAUAUAUAUAUAUAUAUAUAUAUAUAUACAUGCAUAUUUACAUAUAUAAAUAUAUACACACACACACAUAUAUAUUUAAUCCUCUAUUACCCACAAGGGGCUAAACAUAGAGGGGACAAACAAGGAUAGACAAAGAGAUUAAGUCGAUUACAUCGAUCCCAGUGCAUAAAUGGUACUUAUUUAAUCGACCCCGAAAGGAUGAAAGGCAAAGUUGACCUCGGCGGAAUUUGAACUCAGAACUUAGCGACAGACGAAAUACCUAUUUCUGUUUCUUUACUGCACACAAGGGGCUACACACAGAGAGUACAAACAAGGACAGACAAACAGAUUAAGUUGAUUAUAUCGAGCCCUGUGCGUAACUGAUACUUAUUUAAUCGACCCCGAAAGGAUGAAAGGCUAAGUCGACGUCGGCGGAAUUUGAACCCAGAACGUAACGGCAGACGAAAUAUCGCUAAGCAUUUCGCCCGGCGUGCUAACGUUUCUACCAGCUCGCCGCCUUCACACACACACACACACACACACACACACACAUAUAUAUAUAUAUAUAUAUAUAUAUAUAUAUAUAUAUAUAUAUAUAUAUAUAUAUAUACAUACAUACAUACAUAUAUAUAUAUAUAUAUAUAUAUAUAUAUAUAUAUAUACAUGCACACCGAUACGCCCAUACACACAUCUUUCUCUUUCUCUCUCUCUCUCUCUUUGCUUGUAGCUACAUUGAUGUUUAUAUCAAAUGGAUCUCAUAAAUCGAUUAAUAAAUCAACAUUGUAUUCGAUGAAUUAAUCCGAAAAUUGAUUUGCAACUUCAAAAUAAGACUGACUACCGAGAAAGCUUCAACACACAGAUGUACUGUUUCAAGUAGUGUUGCGCACAAUACAAGCACAAUUACACUUUCAAUCAAUUUUACUGGAACACUUCCCAUUCAGACAUUUUCCAGAGAGUACGUGGCUAAGAUGCUCGCUUCAUAACCAUGAAAUUACAGGUUCGAUCCCGCUGUGUAGAAAACUUAGCAGAUUGUCUUCUAAUUUAACGCUUAGUUGACCCACAAUUUAUCGACUGAAAUUUGGUACACGAGAACUGUGCAGAAAUCCAGCGUGAGUGGCUGUGUGUUACGUAGCUUGCUGACCAAACACAUGGUUCUGGGUUCAGUCCCACCGCGUGGCAUCUUGGGCAAGUGUCUUCUACCAUAACCUCGGGCCGCCCAAACCCUUGUGAGUGGAUUUGGUAGACGGAAACUGUAAGAAGCCCGUCGUAUAUAUAUAUAUAUAUAUAUAUAUAUAUAUAUAUAUAUAUAUAUAUAUGUAUUUAUGUGUGUGUGUGUGUGUGUGUGUGUGUGCGCGUGUGUGUGUGUGUGUAUGUCUGUCUGUCCCCCCACCAUUACUUGACAACCGAUGCUGGUGUGUUUACGUUCCCGUAACUUAACGGUUCGGCAAAAGAGACCGAUAGAAUAAGUACUAGGCUUACAAAGAAUAAGUCCCGGGGUCGAUUUGCACGACUAAAGGCUAUGCUCCGGCAUGGCUGCAGUCAAAUGACUGAAAGUGUAUAUAUAUAUAUAUAUAUAUAUAUAUAUAUAUAUAUAUAUAUAUAUAUAUAUAUAUAUAUAUACUGUUACAUGUUUCGGUCAUUUGACUGUAGCCAUGCUGGAACACCACUUUUGGUCGAAAAAACGACCCUAGGACUUAUUCCUUGUAAGUCUAGUACUUAUUCUAUCAGUAUCUUUUGCCGAACCGUAAAGUUUCAGGGAUAUAAACACAGCAACAAUGGUUGUCAAGUGAUAGUAGUGGCAGAGGGGGACACACAGACACACACAAAAAAAUUUAUACAUAUAUAUACACACCACGGGCUUCUUUCAGUUUCCGGAACCAAAUCCACUAACAAGGCUUUGGUUGGUCCGAGGCUAUAGUAGAAGAUGCCCAAGGCGACAUGCAGUGGGACUGAACCCGGAGACAUGUGGCUGGGAAGCCAGCCUCUUAUAUAUAUAUAUAUAUAUAUAUAUAUAUAUAUAUAUAACCGUGAUCACCGUGACCGACCAGGCUAUCAGAUGUUGCUACACAUCGCUGGUCACAAUGCACUUCGCAUUGUUUUAGCCUUCAAAUGACGCCCCCCCCCCGCUGGCUAAGCGAGCAGGCCAACAGAAGAAAGAGUGAGAGAAAGUUGUGGUGAAAGAGUACAGCAGGAAUCGCGACCACCCCCUGCCGGAGCUUCGUGGAGCUUUGGGUGUUUUCGCUCAAUAAACACUCACAACGCCCGGUCUGGGAAUCGAAACCGCGAUCCUACGACCGCAAGUCCGCUGCCCUAACCACUGGGCCAUUGCGCCACCACACACACACACACACACACACACACACACACGCACAUAUAUAUAUAUAUAUAUAUAUAUAGGAUCUUUUCGGUUUGAACGGCAGUUAUUCUAGCGGUGUCAUAUGAAAUUGUCACCCAUAAUUAUGACCCUAGUAUCGAUCUUUGUCGGACCAUUCUGUUCAUGCGGAUGAUAUAACUAGAAUUAGGCGGCGAGCUGGUAGAAACGUUACCACACCGGGCGAAAUGCUUAGCGGUAUUUCGUCUGCCGUUACGUUCUGAGUUCAAAUUCCGCCGAGGUCGACUUUGCCUUUCAUCCUUUCGGGGUCGAUAAAUUAAGAACCAGUUACGCACUGGGGUCGAUACAAUCGACUUAAUCCGUUUGUCUGUCCUUGUUUGUCCCUUCUGUGUUUAGCCCCUUGUGGGUAGUAAAGAAAUAGAUAUAACUAGAAUUAAAUUUGCAGGUGCUAAGAUACAAUACGACGCUCUGUAUAAUAUUAUUCUAAGACGAGUCGAAAAUAUGAGGGGUGACUAGUUUAAACCCCAUAGAUUAAUUAUUUUGGGGGAAGAAUUUAUAAAUUGAUAGAUAUUUCUGUCUACAGGCAAUUGACAUCAGAUAUCUUAAUAAGUAAGCUUUUUUUUUUUGUUGCCACGGGGAACGUGGUUCGCCUCCUUCCUGCAUAAACUGGAAUUUUUAGUGUGUGUAUUAUAUGGUUUCCAUUAUGAUAGACCAAUCUAGACUGAAUUCUUUAUUGUGAAAGUUUAAUUUAUUGAUAUGAGUUGCCAGUGUAGUUGGAUGUUUUGGUUUCGUGAUUGACAAGAAAUUGUUUCUGUACCAACUCUAUUUUCAACGCUAUACUACGCAAAAUUUCGAAGUGACAAUUUACAGAAUGUUUGCGAUUUUAGACAUUAGAGAGACACUUCAUCAGAGUUACUUCAAAAGUGUGAUGUCACAUUGUGCGUCUUCCAGACUUUUUUUUUUUUUAAUUUUAUUUUUGCUUAUAUCGGGAGGAACACACUUUACGGUGUAAUCAUCGUAAAACUCGGAUUUUCUAUACCUGAGGAAUUCUUGCUUUCGCCUGGAGCCCGACUGUGUUGAUAGCCCAGUAUUCGGGUCCAAUGCUUCUCUGGAAAUGCCCUAACUUUACACCUUAUCAGGACCUAAGACUUUUGCUUUACACUGAAAUUAUACUUUACACACACACACACAUAUAAAAUACUUUUUCUAUUCCUGAGCCUGAGCGUUAUACUAAUACAUCUGUUUGUUUUGUACACCACCUGUCUUCGUCUUUUGUCUUUUUCGUAAACUCUCCCUAUAUAUAUAUAUAUAUAUAUAUAUAUAUAUUCGGCAAUAAGAAAAUGGAGGGGAUCAAGAGGUGGUAUUCAUCAACUUUUAGACAUUAUAUUAUGUCUAUUUAUUUAUUUAUUUUUAAAACAAAAAACAUUAUAACAAUAUACAUAUAUAUAUAGCAUAAUAUGCUUUACAUAUACAAUAUAUAAAAAUACCAGUAAUUAUUAAAAUAUAUAACGUAGAUCACAAAAGAUAGAAUAAUAUCUAACAGCUGUAAGCUUACGUCCUCGUAAUCUAGCGGUUCCACAAAAAGAGACCGAUAAAAUAAGUACCAGGUCUAUUUGUUCGACUAAAUCUUCAAUGUGGUGCCCCAACAUGGCCGCUAUCUAAUAACUUUAACAGGUAAAAGAAGGUAUUGAAGAUCUUUGUCUUAUCAAAAUUAGUAGCAAUUCAAUUUACUGUUUUCUACAUUCCAGAUACCUCUUUCAAGAAUGGUAAAUGCCUGAAGAGAAUAUGAUGUGCCACACUCCUCUCACUUGACCGAAUUUAAUGAAAUAUUUCUCACCAAAGAAGAUUAUGUUUAUGGUCGAAAACGAAAACACUCACCACAAUUACGAAAUACACAAUCCAACUUAAAUGGACGCAAGUUCUCGCCAUAGUUCUAAAUGUAAUGGAUACAGAGAAACGACGAGAAUUUUAAUAAAUAGCACAACUAUUGGAAAGCAAACGUGUGAAUCCAACAAGAUUUCUCUUCUAAUAUUUACCAUUUUCUUAUAAUGUUCUCAAGUAACGGAUGAU
This 29976-nucleotide long non-coding RNA is filed under the name Octopus vulgaris (common octopus). Lineage: Eukaryota; Metazoa; Mollusca; Cephalopoda; Octopoda; Octopodidae. The record is from RNAcentral.